This 73-nucleotide transfer RNA is filed under the name Apaloderma vittatum (bar-tailed trogon). It matches the Rfam family "tRNA". From Rfam's summary of the family: Transfer RNA (tRNA) molecules are approximately 80 nucleotides in length. Their secondary structure includes four short double-helical elements and three loops (D, anti-codon, and T loops). The record is from Rfam by way of RNAcentral. Lineage: Eukaryota; Metazoa; Chordata; Aves; Trogoniformes; Trogonidae.
GGCUGGUUAGCUCAGUCAAUUGAGCGUGGCACUGACAGCGUCAAUGUCGCGGGUUCGAUUCCCGUUCAGACCC